GGGGGGGGAGCAUCUGACAAGAACUUAAUUGUGUGAGUGAUCCAUUCCAGAUCUAGACAUAGCUCUUCCACCCUCUGACCCAGCCCAGAGACUCUUUAACUGUCCCAGAACAGCAGAGGAACUGUUUGACCUUUUGUCCCUCUGACACAAAAUCUUCCAGAAGCAUCUCUCUAUGGUAUUACAUGUUCGUAUUCCCUAUAAAUUGAAUCUAGACAUUCAAGCAUGACUGAACAGGCAUUGAAGAUGCAGUUGGUGAGAUGUACUAACUCUACCCGUCUUUAAAUCUCUUACUUCAGGUAAUUAUGGAUGACAGAUUCUUAUUUGGAUUGGGUUGCUAUUUAUUCGUAUAUUUAUUUUAGUAAGUGAUGAGGCAAGGACAUAAAAAUGCAGAGUUGAAAGACAGAUUGGCCUGGAUUGAAUUGAUAAGAGAUGUGUGGGGCUUUUUGGCUUCUGAUCAAUAUUUGUAUUCAGUCUGCAGUCUAAAGUAUGUAUAAUAAAAAGAAAACAGGUGGGAGUGGUAUCUGAUUGUACUUCUUCCCAGUUUAUAUUCCAAUUAAAAGACAGAAAAAGCAUUAAGGAAAGAGUGGAAAGCAGCCUUAAUCACCCUACCCUAAAAUGAUUUAGUAGGAUUUCCAUAAGACAGGUCUUCGUAGACCGUGGUCAACUCCCCUUCAGAAACUUAGACAUCCCACGUUGCCAAGAGCUCUAGCUUCCGACCCGCUGAGACUCCAGCUGGCUCUUUUGCAGUUUGCUUUUUGGAAUCCAGUGGAUUUACAGCUCACAUUAGGACACUGGUAGUUUCUGGGGACCUUUGUAAAGAAAUCAGGAGUUUAGAUGGCUCUUAAGCUGUCGUUGAGGCAGCUAAUCAUCGCAUUAAUACAGUCUGUGAUCUGCACUAACAUUCUGUUCAGAAUUGUUAAUAAUGUAACUGUCAUUCGGACAUUACAGUUUCGAAAUUUUUUUUUAACAGGUCCAGUGUUGUAGACUUACUCUUUGUAGCUUCCUCUCCCCAACAUUCAUUUGGUUUAAUGAAAGAUUAUUUUAUUUGUUUUGAAGAUGGGGUAUUAGGAGUUCCUAACAAUGAGGGAGCGUAAGACCACAAAGGUCACUGCGCUCAAGCCUCCAGAAAAAAAUGAAAGCACGGAACUUUUUAUAGUAGUCAAAGAAUCUUGCAUUCGAAGCCCCAGAGUUUACUUGACAUAUUGCAAAACACUUUGGCCUCUGAUUUCUCGGAUUCGUUAACCACUGAGCCACAACGGGAACUCCAGCAAAAGUUUUUUUUUUUUUUUUUCAUGCUACAAAUACACACAGCUAAAACUAUAUUUUGCACAACCUGUCCUCUGCCAUGUGUAGAACCUUCUCUGACGCUGGCUCAACAAGAACUGCUGGUUUGCUGUCUUCUAAGGAUCCUAGAUUUGAAAAAUCUCUUAGAGAUCGUAUCCCUACCCUGUAUGUGAUGUAUAAACUAUUCUCCUCUGUGUGUUCCCCAGUUCCCAGUAAUUUACCCCCUGAACCUCCAGUGAGUAAGUACCGUCUGCCUCGAGAUAAUUUUUUAUCCUUGGAGAACUCUGAUUGUGACCUGAUAGUGACAAAGCCAGCCUCUGCAUGGCAUGCAAUGUAAUAAAUUAGAAACAGCCACACUCUCUCUUCUCAGAAUAGAAUCUCUGUAGUUGCUCAUUUGUAAUAGUCUGCCCUUCCCUGAGGGGCUGCACCCCAUGAGGUUAUUCACCAGGCAGUGUAUCCUCUACGUGGGUUCCUGUCUUGGUGGGGUAUGUUCCCUUCACUGUCCACUCCGCUGCGACUGAGUACCCUGUGAUGCCAGUCUUGAUGGGAGGAGAGCUUCAAGUCUCCAGGGCCUCCUUCUAUCUGUCUUCCUGUAGGCAUAAUACUGCUGAAAGAUCUCAGCUACAGUUUCAGAAUGUUCAGGGCAGUCCCAACCCCCUUCAUUUGGGGAUUGCAGAAAGGGACUUGGCUGAUAGAUAGAUUUGUUGUUGAUCUCCUUCACUGGAGAUUUCCACUGGUGGUACAUUUUCUUUGCUGUGCUCCAAAACGCAGGAGCUGAUGCUUAUACAGAGAGUAUGGUCUGGCCCGUGAUCUCCUUAAAUGCAAUUUCCAUCUACCACCUUCUGCAUUACAGGGUUUUGCAUCAGGAAACAGUUGGGACAGAUUCCUGCCGGGAAAUGUGCUGGAUAUUUGGUGUCUUGGAAGGGGGGUUAAACCCAGAGAGAGAAAACUCUGGCUCACAUCUGACACUCUUCUUACCAGCUGUGGAAACGAGCAAGUUACUUCAUCUGAGUUUAUAGAUGCAUCUACAACAUGAGGGUAAUAUUUAUCUUACAGAAGGUUGUGAGAAAUAAGACUAUGGGGAAGGGUUUCAUAAACUGAAAACACUCCCAAAUGUAAGGUCUUCUACGAGAAUCCUUUUCAAAACUCAAAGUCUGUAUGAACUAAGGUGUUUAUUACAUGUUGAAUGAAUUUU
Molecule: long non-coding RNA, 2479 nt
Filed under: Sus scrofa (pig)
Lineage: Eukaryota; Metazoa; Chordata; Mammalia; Artiodactyla; Suidae
Description: lncRNA (ENSSSCG00035044407.1, ENSSSCG00065060839.1)
Source: RNAcentral